GUCCCUGUAGCGCAAUGGAUAGCGCUUUGGAGUUCUAAUCCAAUGGUCUUGGGCUAAAUUGCCACCUGGAAUA
Molecule: non-coding RNA, 73 nt
Organism: Trichonephila clavata
Lineage: Eukaryota; Metazoa; Arthropoda; Arachnida; Araneae; Nephilidae
Source: the annotation of a GenBank genome assembly